UUCUCCUUUGUAUAGUGGCUAGUAUCCGACGCUGUCACCGUCGAGACCCGGGUUCAAUUCCCGGAGGGGAAG
This 72-nucleotide transfer RNA is filed under the name Emiliania huxleyi. It matches the Rfam family "tRNA". From Rfam's summary of the family: Transfer RNA (tRNA) molecules are approximately 80 nucleotides in length. RNAcentral also lists the same sequence under 1 other name. Lineage: Eukaryota; Haptophyta; Isochrysidales; Noelaerhabdaceae. The record is from Rfam by way of RNAcentral.